Molecule: long non-coding RNA, 859 nt
Organism: Homo sapiens (human)
Lineage: Eukaryota; Metazoa; Chordata; Mammalia; Primates; Hominidae
Product: long intergenic non-protein coding RNA 513
Source: Ensembl
GUCUAAUCCUCUGCGAUGGGGCCAGUCUGCAGAUCCGUCUGGGCGGGCUGCGGUAGCAUUCUCCACCUGCCAACACUCAGUUGCUGGUGAGUAACCAGCAUACGGACUCUCACUUCCUAGGCAGGGUCUCACUUCAUCUCAGCCUCCAGAGUAGCUGAAACUACAGGCAGGAGAGAGAGUGGUCUCACAACGGAAGGGCACCAGCCACUGAGAAGUCCUAAGGCCGUGUUUGAGUUCUGGCUCAUCUUUUUUGCUAAUUUGCUCUUAUGCAUAUCACCCAACCUCGCUAAGCCAGUUUCAUCAUCAGCGAGAACAGCACACUGACAUGCAGGGCCAGCUCAGGCGCUACCACAAGCUACACAUCCGUCCAUUCGUUUAAUCUUCACAGCAGCCCUGGAGACUUUCUUUUUUAAAAGCAAAAUAAAUUGACAUGACUUGUUCAGGGUUAACUGUUUGGCAGGUGGAUGAUCUGUGGCCAUCCAUGAUGAGAUCACCUCCCUGCCCCGCUGGCCCCCAGCCUCUAGAAGUCAGGGCUUCUGAGGCCCAGAAGCUCAGCGCCACACCUGUUGAAGGCCAGUGAUGUCAGAGUUACUCUUCCUUCCUCCAGCAGCACUGACAGCAGUUUAUUGUACGCAAUUUCUAGAACUCAGAUGUUCUAGAAGGAAGCAAACAUAUUCUGAGAUCACAGACUAUGACUAUGCUCUCAGAAUAUGUUCUAGAACACCUAAGUUGCAAUUCUUAAAAUCAACACAGCGUAAGACUGCUUUAGGAGGAAGUGAUCAAGCUCAAAGCAACCUAGGCAUGAUGUGCCUUGUUUGUUUAUCUGUUUGAACAGGAAUAAAACGAAAAGAGGCCUGUG